UACGGAGGGUGCAAGCGUUAUCCGGAUUCACUGGGUUUAAAGGGUGCGUAGGUGGGCUAGUAAGUCCGUGGUGAAAUCCCCGAGCUUAACUCGGGAACUGCCGUGGAUACUAUUAGUCUUGAAUAUCGUGGAGGUAAGCGGAAUAUGUCAUGUAGCGGUGAAAUGCUUAGAUAUGACAUAGAACACCGAUAGCGGGGGCAGCUUACUACGCGAUUAUUGACACUGAGGCACGAAAGCGUGGGGAUCAAACAGG
RNAcentral lists this ribosomal RNA (253 nucleotides) under uncultured bacterium. Its description in RNAcentral is "partial 16S ribosomal RNA". It matches the Rfam family "Bacterial small subunit ribosomal RNA", at positions 524 to 776 of the family's 1533-position model. The record is from RNAcentral.